CACCCUCAGAAGAAGUCAGAGCCCCAGAGGCCGGACAACUUACAGCUUAAUGGCUUUACUUUUAGAAAAACUAACAUCCUUCCAAUCAUAUAUUUCUUAGCCAUCAGAAAAGAAAUAAGAAAUCAAAGUUUAAAAUUUUAGACUGGUUUCAAUUUUUGGAUAUAAAAAGAAGUUUUCUGGAAAAUUCUGGCAAACUGAACAAGGACCAACUGUGUUCUACCUGCAUCUCUGCUUCCUCGCUGAUUUACAGAAUGAGAUUCCCACAAAUUCUCAAGCAAAUGCAACUCACUAAAGUGUUCUAGAUCAAAGAGGCUCAGGAAGACGUGUUUCAAGUUUCUGACAUAAAAAAUAUAAAUUUUCAGAAAAGCCCUGGUAAGUUUCUAAUUAUUGGUUUAUUUAAGCAACUCUCAUUAAA
This 415-nucleotide long non-coding RNA is filed under the name Marmota marmota marmota (Alpine marmot). RNAcentral describes it as "lncRNA (ENSMMMG00000020676.1)". The record is from RNAcentral. Lineage: Eukaryota; Metazoa; Chordata; Mammalia; Rodentia; Sciuridae.